This 398-nucleotide ribosomal RNA is filed under the name uncultured bacterium. Its description in RNAcentral is "bacterial SSU rRNA". It matches the Rfam family "Bacterial small subunit ribosomal RNA", at positions 27 to 415 of the family's 1533-position model. The record is from RNAcentral.
GAAUGAACGCUGGCGGCGCGCCUAAUACACGCAAGUCGAGCGAGAAGACGUAGCAAUACGUUUGUAAAGCGGCGAACGGGUGAGGAAUACAUGGGUAACCUACCCUCGAGUGGGGAAUAACUAGCCGAAAGGUUAGCUAAUACCGCGUACGCUUCUUGGACUUCGGUUCAGGGAGGAAAGCGAUGCCGAGGGUAUCGCGCUCUUGGAUGGGCUCAUGUCCUAUCAGCUUGUUGGUGAGGUAACGGCUCACCAAGGCUUCGACGGGUAGCUGGUCUGAGAGGACGAUCAGCCACACUGGCACUGCGACACGGGCCAGACUCCUACGGGAGGCAGCAGUAAGGAAUAUUGCGCAAUGGGCGAAAGCCUGACACAGCGACGCCGCGUGGGGGAGUGAAGGU